Arachis ipaensis is the source of this 591-nucleotide non-coding RNA. The record is from RefSeq and is a predicted model, not a curated record. Lineage: Eukaryota; Viridiplantae; Streptophyta; Magnoliopsida; Fabales; Fabaceae.
CAAACGAGGAACCAAAAAGGUUUGAGAUGUUUAUUACUACCCGAACAAGUCGGAAGAGGAAAGAAGUGGAUGAGGAAACACAGACUGCUGUUACUUCCAACACCGCCAAGCUGCUGGUGAAACAGAAGAGGAAGCAUUUGAGGCCUUAUUCGGGAAAGAACAACCAGGUCAGGUAAGGUUGUAUAGAAGAUCUGUGACAAAAAGUGAUUUUAAAAAACAUGCUGAAAUUAAUGAAAUCAAGAAUCAACACAAAGAGGAAGUGUCCAGUCUGAAGGAUAAACUUGGACACAUGGAGGCCAAACAGCAAAAACAAGAGGAAGAGAUUCAUGGGUUGCGAAAUAUGGUCAAGUUAAUACUGCAGCGAUCUGAACCUGGAAUGAGGCCAGAAGAACUAGAAGCUUUAUUACAAUAUGCCCAACAGUCUCCGAUUGAUGCAAAUAGCGGCCAUGGAUCAACUCAUUUUCUGAACUUAGAUGUGGGUAACAAUGAAGAUUAAGCUGAUUAUUAUUGUGGUUUAUUGGCUAAGAUAGAGUACUGUUUAGAAUCUUUACAUGUAUGGUUGACUAAUGACUUUUAUUAGAAGAUACUUAU